GUGCUUGCUUCGGCAGCACAUAUACUAAAAUUGGAACAAUACAGGGAAAAUUAGCAUGGCCACUGCACAUGGAUGGCACGCAAAUUCGUGAAGCGUUUCCAUAUUUU
Molecule: small nuclear RNA, 107 nt
Organism: Suncus etruscus (white-toothed pygmy shrew)
Lineage: Eukaryota; Metazoa; Chordata; Mammalia; Eulipotyphla; Soricidae
Source: RefSeq, a predicted model, not a curated record